This 810-nucleotide long non-coding RNA is filed under the name Olea europaea subsp. europaea. Lineage: Eukaryota; Viridiplantae; Streptophyta; Magnoliopsida; Lamiales; Oleaceae. The record is from RNAcentral.
GUUCUCCACCAUUGAAGACACACACAGAUGGUACUCAAUCAGCGCAGGGAUCAGGUACCGAGACAGUUCCUCAAACCACUCUUGCACAGGGGUUGUUGGCUGAGAUCAGCUCAGAGCGACAUAGUGUCAAGCAUAUGCUGAUUGAUCACUUUAAGAAGGACCAUGGAAUGAAAGUUGGAUCUACCAUGAGAUUUGCUAUUGAGGACUUGGUUUUUAAGCUCUUUGGAGAGGGACCUUCUGUGAGUAAGACUCCUACGCAUACAUCUUCACCUAGUCCUUCUAUCACAGCUCCUACACACAAUAAGGUGAAAGAACAUAUACAGAGAGACAUGGAUGGCAUGGGCCUUGGAAACUGCAUGCAAAAUGCAGAGGAUGAUGUCCCUACAGCAAGCAGGUCAAUCUCCCAUGAUUCAGAUGUCGUAGCACAGAACACCAUGAGAUUAGACGCACCUACGACUAGUACAAUGAGAUCAGAUGCACCCGCUUUUCGCCCGACAUUCAGUGCACCACCAUCUGAACAGUUCUUAUCACCAAAGCAGGCUCCUACACGCAGGCGAGAUCCCUCUCCAACGAGUGAGCCAGACAUCGCAGACUACUAUGAUCCGGAAAUGUUUCAAACCAGACGCAUGACUCGAUCAAUGUCUAUGUACUACCACCCGAAGAUUUACCCUCGGGAAUACCCUUAAGUACCUUUCAUUAGUUUUUGUUCGUGUCUUGUUUAGUGUGAUUGCAUUUCGUCUUCAAAUAUUUGUUACAAUUUACAUUUGCUGGAGGUCAGGUCCAUGCCCCCCUCCUCUAUUUGUUUUCCCG